GGAGUGGAAAGGUAAACGGGGAAAAAAAAGGAAAGGUUCAGCGUCUUCCGGGUCUCUGUAAUGGUCAUUGAGUAGUACUGCCUGCACUACCCAUAAGAAUUAUUACUCCUUUCCAUUUUAUGCCACUUCAACAGAUUUACUUAUUUACGCAGCAUCCACAGCCAAAGCCCACCUUUUGAUUUUGAUUUUCCUCAGAGACUAGCAAAUGAAGAAGGGAGGCUUAAACCCUAAUGUCAAGCUCAAGCUCUCCCUCCCUCCUCCUAAUGAAGUUUCCUUCGCUAAGUUCCUAACCCAAAGCGGUACGUUUAGAGAUGGUGAUCUGCUUGUCAAUCGAGACGGUGUUCGGAUUGUCUCUCAAAUCGAUACCCAGCCUCCACCACCUAUAACGCCCACAGACAACCAAUUGAGUUUAGCGGAUAUAGACAUGGUUAAGGUCAUCGGGAAGGGAAGUAGUGGAAUUGUGCAGUUGGUGCAACACAAAUGGACAAGCCAGUUUUUUGCCUUGAAGGUUAUCCAAAUGAAUAUCGAAGAGUCUGCACGCAAGGCCAUUACUCAGGAACUGAAAAUUAAUCAGUCAUCACAAUGUCCUUAUGUUGUCAUGUGCUACCAGUCUUUUUACGAUAACGGUGCCAUUUCAAUUAUCUUAGAGUACAUGGAUGGUGGAUCUCUAGCAGAUUUUCUGAAAAGUGUUAAAAAAAUUUCAGAACCAUAUCUUGCUGCCAUCUUUAAGCAGGUGCUCAAGGGUUUGUUGUAUCUUCAUCAUGAAAAACACAUCAUCCACCGGGAUUUAAAACCUUCUAAUUUGUUGAUUAAUCAUAGAGGAGAAGUCAAGAUUACAGACUUUGGAGUGAGUGCAAUCAUGCAAAGCACGUCUGGACAGGCUAAUACUUUUGUUGGCACAUACAACUAUAUGUCUCCUGAGAGAAUUAGUGGGGGACGAUAUGACUAUAAAAGUGACAUUUGGAGCUUGGGCUUGGUAUUGCUGGAGUGUGCAACCGGCGAAUUCUCAAUUACCCCUCCUGUGCCGAAUGAAGGCUGGACUAAUGUCUAUGAACUUAUGGUAGCCAUUGUUGAUCAACCUCCACCUUCUGCACCACCAGACCAAUUUUCUCCAGAGUUUUGUUCAUUUAUAUCUGCAUGUGUGCAGAAAGAUCCAAAGGAUAGACAGUCAGCACAUGAACUGAUGGUAUUUGAAGUCCCAUGAUUGUUCUUCUGGGUGGGGCAAUUAGCUGCCCACCAAGUAUUAAUGGCACUUCAUGAACACCCAUUCAUGAACAUGUAUGAGGACCAGCAUGUGGAUCUCUCGUCAUACUUUACAAAUGCCGGUUCUCUUGCCACCCUUUGAAACUUGUGAUACCCUAUGAUUGCGAUCUUGAAGGCCUGAAGAAAGAUUCUUAAAUGUCAUCGUGCGGCUUAAAAUAAAUCAACUUGCUGCAAUUACAAUUUCCAAGGCUGAGGUUUUCAAAGCAUUUGCAAUUCACAAAACAUCCCAGGGUCAUAAUAUUUAGUGUAUGCCAUGCACUAAUCAUGGAAUAGAGAGCGUAUGGUUUCAAGGAAGCUUCUUGUUUGUGAGAGAUAUCAUUGGAAUAUGGUUUCCUGUAUAACUUACCGAAAUGAUUUUUUUUUUUUUUUAUUGUUUUAGUUGUAUGUCGAGUGUUGCAAAUGCAUCAAACUCCUAUGUGAAAGGUGUCAAUAUAUGGCUGUGUGUGACUUUGAGCUUGCAAA
Molecule: RNA transcript, 1725 nt
Organism: Populus trichocarpa (black cottonwood)
Lineage: Eukaryota; Viridiplantae; Streptophyta; Magnoliopsida; Malpighiales; Salicaceae
Gene name: mitogen-activated protein kinase kinase 2
Exons: 9
Source: RefSeq, a predicted model, not a curated record